GCCAGACUCCUACGGGAGGCAGCAGUGGGGGAUAUUGCACAGUGGGGGGAACCCUGAUGCAGCGACGCCGCGUGGGUGAAGGAGCGUUUCGGCGCGUAAAGCCCUAUCGGCAGGGAAGAAGGAGGACGGUACCUGACUAAGAAGCCCCGGCUAACUACGUGCCAGCAGCCGCGGCAAUACGUAGGGGGCAAGCGUUAUCCGGAGUUACUGGGUGUAAAGGGGGCGCAGACGGCAGCGCAAGCCAGGAGUGAAAGCCCGGGGCCCAACCCCGGGACUGCUCUUGGAACUGCGCGGCUGGAGUACAGGAGGGGCAGGCGGAAUUCCUGGUGUAGCGGUGAAAUGCGUAGAUAUCAGGAGGAACACCGGUGGCGAAGGCGGCCUGCUGGACUGCGACUGACGUUGAGGCCCGAAGGCGUGGGGAGCAAACAGGAUUAGAUACCCCCGUAACG
RNAcentral lists this ribosomal RNA (449 nucleotides) under uncultured bacterium. RNAcentral's name for it is "bacterial SSU rRNA". It matches the Rfam family "Bacterial small subunit ribosomal RNA", at positions 330 to 793 of the family's 1533-position model. The record is from RNAcentral.